CUACCAAAAGUCAAUUUUUGGUGGGGAAGGCUUUUUAAUAAUCUUUACUAACUUGUGUUAUUUGGGAGAAUAAAUAUGACUACACACUCCGUAGUGGGCUAUACAAUUUAUUUUACAGUUCAUGACUAUUGUGUGGCCUAUGUU
This 144-nucleotide small nucleolar RNA is filed under the name Castor canadensis (American beaver). Its description in RNAcentral is "Small nucleolar RNA SNORA4 (ENSCCNG00000005805.1)". It matches the Rfam family "Small nucleolar RNA SNORA4". Rfam says of the family: ACA4 is a member of the H/ACA class of snoRNA that guide the sites of modification of uridines to pseudouridines. The record is from Rfam by way of RNAcentral. Lineage: Eukaryota; Metazoa; Chordata; Mammalia; Rodentia; Castoridae.